Molecule: ribosomal RNA, 369 nt
Filed under: soil fungal sp. DM107
Lineage: Eukaryota; Fungi
Description: eukaryotic LSU rRNA
Rfam family: Eukaryotic large subunit ribosomal RNA
Source: RNAcentral
CAUUGUAAUUUGCAGAGGAUGCUUCGGGAGCGGCCCCCAUCUAAGUGCCCUGGAACGGGCCGUCAUAGAGGGUGAGAAUCCCGUAUGGGAUGGGGUGUCCGCGCCCGUGUGAAGCUCCUUCGACGAGUCGAGUUGUUUGGGAAUGCAGCUCUAAAUGGGUGGUAAAUUUCAUCUAAAGCUAAAUAUUGAUCGGAGACCGAUAGCGCACAAGUAGAGUGAUCGAAAGAUGAAAAGCACUUUGAAAAAAGAGUUAUUAAGCACGUGAAAUUGUUGAAAGGGAAGCGCUUGCGACCAGACUCGCCCGCGGGGUUCAGCCGGCAUUCNUGCCGGAGUACUUCCCCGUGGGAGGGCCAGCGUCGGGUUGGGCGG